GACGAACGCUGGCGGCGUGCCUAAUACAUGCAAGUAGAACGCUGAAGGAGGAGCUUGCUCUUCUGGAUGAGUUGCGAACGGGUGAGUAACGCGUAGGUAACCUGCCUGGUAGCGGGGGAUAACUAUUGGAAACGAUAGCUAAUACCGCAUAACAGUAGAUGUUGCAUGACAUUUACUUAAAAGGUGCAAUUGCAUCACUACCAGUUGGACCUGCGUUGUAUUAGCUAGUUGGUGGGGUAACGGCUCACCAAGGCGACGAUACAUAGCCGACAUGAGAGGGGGAUCGGCCAGACUGGGACUGAGACACGGCCCAGUCUCCUACAGGGAGGAGCAGUAGGGAAACUUGAGCAAUGGGCGGAAGUCUGAGCGAGCAACGCCGCAUGAGGGAAGAAGGUUUUCGGAUCGUAAAGCUCUGUUGUAAGAGAAGAACGAGUGUGAGAGUGGAAAGUUCACACUGUGACGGUAUCUUACCAGAAAGGGACGGCUAACUACGUG
Molecule: ribosomal RNA, 495 nt
Filed under: uncultured bacterium
Lineage: Bacteria
Description: partial 16S ribosomal RNA
Rfam family: Bacterial small subunit ribosomal RNA
Source: RNAcentral